AUGUGCUACACAUCUAAUUUUAUCUGUAGUUUCUUUUAAAUGAUCUAAAUUGAGAUGCCUUUGAUAACGAAGAGAUUUACCAACAUUAUAUGCACUCGUGCCUUCAAUGCGGAAUCAAACUGGUUAACCUCGGCACAGUCCUCUCCUUUCUGUGUUUCUGCUGCACUAAUUGCCAGGGGGUGGGAGAGAAGGCAGAUGAAUGAAUUCAUAGUAGAAGGAGGUGAUAGGUGCAGCAAAGAGCAGCCGCAAUAUUGAUUCCACAUUACAAUUUUGUUGCCCCUUGGCAAAAGACAUCACAUUGUGGGAAGAUCUCAGCUUCCAGGGUAAAAGUUAAUUUAUAACUUAAAGUGCUAUUAAGUUUUUAUUACCAAAUAUAUAUUUUAUGGUUUAUAGUGGUAUGUAUGAAACAUUUAAAAUUUUACUGUGGAAAUUGUGUAUAUAUAUAUCUCUAUAGAAGUCGAAAUAGGUGUUCGCAGAUCACAUGUGAAUGGAGAACUGCAUAUGACUGUACAUGAAAUGCAAUAAACCAACUGGAAACAGUGCAUGUGCUUUAUCCUCUCAAGCCAACUCAGCUGAAAAGAGCUGCUUAUCCUUCACCCCCAGAAAAUGCAUGUAUCAAUAUCAGAAUAAAGAACGCACACUUUCAGUUUUAUUGAGGCUUGCAAUACUAAUAGAAGAAUCUGACAUUCUGGAGUUACAAUGACAUUAGAAAAUGAGCAUAACAUUCACUCUGAUUUUAGUCAUUAAGGGAGAUUAGUAAACAGACUGCUACAGUGUUCCACAGUUGGACUGUGCAUCCAAAAUAGUUAUUUUUUUUUGUCUUUAAUGGUACAAUUUUUAUGUAGUUUUUAAAUGUAAGAAAGAAGAAAGAAAUGCUGACCAAAAUCUUGAUUUCAUCAGCUUCGUGAAAAGGACUAGUGUCAUUAACUUGUUGAACAAAGAAUUGGUUUAUUUUAAAAAAUCAUUUCCACUAGUGUGAAACCUUUACGAUUCUUUAACAUCUAAACGUUAUGACUCUUUGUGCCUUAAGUUUUCCAGUCUGUCUUAUUUAUAUCAUCUCCAAGUAACUCUGGCUCCUUUCCUCUUGCUCACUGGAACCUUAGUUUUCCUCAACAGAAUGCUUUGUUAAAGUAGCCCACAGGUGCAGGAUCCAUAGCACCGUCCUACAGACUAGCAGCCGAAAGGUGUGUUUGGUUUGGCUUAUACAGUGUUUUGCCUUUUUAAACUACUUGACAUAAUUUAAAGGUGGCAACACUAGACUUAAAAAGUGAUUGCCCAUAUUAGAAUUUUUUUAAAAAAAGUUUCUUCGCAAAAUCUGCUCUUCCUGAAAGAUCAAAGUGUCUAGAAAGCCCAAACAUGUAUUCUCAUGUAGUAGGCCCCAGCCAAAACUGAGUAAUUCAACUGUCCCCUUGAGCCAAGCAUUCCCUGGUUAGUCACCACCCCACCACUCCUUCCUGUCUCUGGUGUCACACUUGGGCUGUUGGUUUUCUUACUCUUGUCUUGCUUUAAUCCUUCCUCCUCUCCCUGACUCCUGUGGAUCUCUCUGCUUGUCUCCUGGUCCAGGAUGGUGAUCUGACUUUCAAACCAACUUUUCAAAAGGGAUGACGUAAAAUCGGUUUUGAUGUUUUUCCUCCUGAAAAAUCAGAUGAAUAUUUUAGUCACUUAUUCAUGCAUAUUGUAUUUCUUAGUGUUUAAAGAAGGACUUCUAUUAAGUGAGUGGAAGCACUAGACAUUUGGAUUUCCUUCCCAAUGUAAUUUUUAAUGAUUACCUCUUUUAUACAAUAAUUUGUGGUCUUCUUAGAAAGCAGUUAAACUAAUUGACCAUCUAAUAGUUGUACUAUACAUAUAUCUAAAAUAAUAGUCAUGGUAAGUUUGACAUCACAUCUUCCCCAAAAAAUGUUUAUUAAAAUUAGAUUAUUCCAGUUUAAUGCUAUUUUGUGAAGUGUAUAUCUGAAAGUGCUUAUUUUUACAUGCUAUACAACAGUUUCAAUUUUAAAGAAUAUCUCCUAAAAUUGGGAUGAAAAUCUCUAGUCUUUGUUUCUUAAAGUAUGCUAUACUAUAUUCAUUGGUUACUUAACUGGAUAUUAAUAUUAAUAAAGUUAUGACAAAAAAAGAUGAUUAAGAGCAAAAGGAGAAGAAAAUAUUUGCAAGUGAAUCCACAAUUCUUGCAGAACUAUUUGAGUUGAUUAAAGAUUUUAUGAUCACUCCUUUAACUUAGGACUGUCAAGGUUGGGAGUGAUGAAAGUGCCUUGGCUAUGCUUGAAACCUGAAUUUUAGUGCUUCCCUUAUUACAUUUAUUGUUUUAAGUUGGUUUAUAAAAUUAAGACAUACUGGUAGUACAAGUUGAAAGUUGGUUUGAAUACAUUUUAAUUAAAUGAUAUAUGUUAA
Macaca fascicularis (crab-eating macaque) is the source of this 2388-nucleotide long non-coding RNA. Lineage: Eukaryota; Metazoa; Chordata; Mammalia; Primates; Cercopithecidae. The record is from Ensembl.